This 1384-nucleotide ribosomal RNA is filed under the name Klebsiella sp. RNAcentral's name for it is "bacterial SSU rRNA". It matches the Rfam family "Bacterial small subunit ribosomal RNA". Lineage: Bacteria; Pseudomonadati; Pseudomonadota; Gammaproteobacteria; Enterobacterales; Enterobacteriaceae. The record is from RNAcentral.
AGAGAGCUUGCUCUCGGGUGACGAGCGGCGGACGGGUGAGUAAUGUCUGGGAAACUGCCUGAUGGAGGGGGAUAACUACUGGAAACGGUAGCUAAUACCGCAUAACGUCGCAAGACCAAAGUGGGGGACCUUCGGGCCUCAUGCCAUCAGAUGUGCCCAGAUGGGAUUAGCUGGUAGGUGGGGUAACGGCUCACCUAGGCGACGAUCCCUAGCUGGUCUGAGAGGAUGACCAGCCACACUGGAACUGAGACACGGUCCAGACUCCUACGGGAGGCAGCAGUGGGGAAUAUUGCACAAUGGGCGCAAGCCUGAUGCAGCCAUGCCGCGUGUGUGAAGAAGGCCUUCGGGUUGUAAAGCACUUUCAGCGGGGAGGAAGGCGAUAAGGUUAAUAACCUUGUCGAUUGACGUUACCCGCAGAAGAAGCACCGGCUAACUCCGUGCCAGCAGCCGCGGUAAUACGGAGGGUGCAAGCGUUAAUCGGAAUUACUGGGCGUAAAGCGCACGCAGGCGGUCUGUCAAGUCGGAUGUGAAAUCCCCGGGCUCAACCUGGGAACUGCAUUCGAAACUGGCAGGCUAGAGUCUUGUAGAGGGGGGUAGAAUUCCAGGUGUAGCGGUGAAAUGCGUAGAGAUCUGGAGGAAUACCGGUGGCGAAGGCGGCCCCCUGGACAAAGACUGACGCUCAGGUGCGAAAGCGUGGGGAGCAAACAGGAUUAGAUACCCUGGUAGUCCACGCUGUAAACGAUGUCGAUUUGGAGGUUGUGCCCUUGAGGCGUGGCUUCCGGAGCUAACGCGUUAAAUCGACCGCCUGGGGAGUACGGCCGCAAGGUUAAAACUCAAAUGAAUUGACGGGGGCCCGCACAAGCGGUGGAGCAUGUGGUUUAAUUCGAUGCAACGCGAAGAACCUUACCUGGUCUUGACAUCCACAGAACUUUCCAGAGAUGGAUUGGUGCCUUCGGGAACUGUGAGACAGGUGCUGCAUGGCUGUCGUCAGCUCGUGUUGUGAAAUGUUGGGUUAAGUCCCGCAACGAGCGCAACCCUUAUCCUUUGUUGCCAGCGGUUCGGCCGGGAACUCAAAGGAGACUGCCAGUGAUAAACUGGAGGAAGGUGGGGAUGACGUCAAGUCAUCAUGGCCCUUACGACCAGGGCUACACACGUGCUACAAUGGCAUAUACAAAGAGAAGCGACCUCGCGAGAGCAAGCGGACCUCAUAAAGUAUGUCGUAGUCCGGAUUGGAGUCUGCAACUCGACUCCAUGAAGUCGGAAUCGCUAGUAAUCGUAGAUCAGAAUGCUACGGUGAAUACGUUCCCGGGCCUUGUACACACCGCCCGUCACACCAUGGGAGUGGGUUGCAAAAGAAGUAGGUAGCUAACCUUCGGGAGGGCGC